GAUGAACGCUGGCGGCGUGCCUAAUACAUGCAAGUCGAGCGAACAGACGAGGAGCUUGCUCCUCUGACGUUAGCGGCGGACGGGUGAGUAACACGUGGAUAACGUACCUAUAAGACUGGGAUAACUUCGGGAAACCGGAGCUAAUACCGGAUAAUAUAUUGAACCGCAUGGUUCAAUAGUGAAAGACGGUUUUGCUGUCACUUAUAGAUGGAUCCGCGCCGCAUUAGCUAGUUGGUAAGGUAACGGCUUACCAAGGCGACGAUGCGUAGCCGACCUGAGAGGGUGAUCGGCCACACUGGAACUGAGACACGGUCCAGACUCCUACGGGAGGCAGCAGUAGGGAAUCUUCCGCAAUGGGCGAAAGCCUGACGGAGCAACGCCGCGUGAGUGAUGAAGGUCUUCGGAUCGUAAAACUCUGUUAUUAGGGAAGAACAAAUGUGUAAGUAACUAUGCACGUCUUGACGGUACCUAAUCAGAAAGCCACGGCUAACUACGUG
RNAcentral lists this ribosomal RNA (497 nucleotides) under uncultured bacterium. RNAcentral's name for it is "partial 16S ribosomal RNA". It matches the Rfam family "Bacterial small subunit ribosomal RNA", at positions 28 to 507 of the family's 1533-position model. The record is from RNAcentral.